AAAAAGGUGGAACCAAGGUUUAAACCUGAAAACAAAGAGAACCGAUUUUUAUGAGUUUAGAGUUUUUAUGAUGCAAACAGAAAAAAAUAUGAAAACGAAUGAAAUGAUGAUGAUAAUGAUAAUAAAACAAGAUAAAUAAACAAAGGAUAGGAUGGAAUCAAGCUGCUGGAUGUGUAUCACUCUCAGCUUGAUUAGAUGAUGAACUGAAGUGGAUUUGCGGAGGAAGGUUUGAUUGAAUCUCUCAAUCUGAUGGAAUGAUGGAUCAAAGUGAUUGACUCUCUCAAUCUGUGUACUGAGCUUGUUUGAUUUGCACAAACAAACUAGACUCACGAAAUCAAUAAGACAGAAAAGAAUCCCUCUUUGGAUCCUAAAGACCGUUAUUUUAUACAAAGAACAACUUUGGUAAAACUGAAUAAACUUUCUAUUAACUUGGUGUUUAAGGGUGCUCUUUACAAUGGACGUCUAGGAGCUUAUAAAAGGCUCAGAGACAAAUGUCCUAACGUUCUAAAACAAAUAGAAAAGGAAACAAAUCAAGCAAAGUAACAAAAUCGAAAAACUAGCCGUUGGAGCCUUUUAUGGGAUUUUGGCUCCAAGUGAGAAACUUGAUUCUUCUUGAACCUGGACGGUUUUAAUGGAUAAGAGAGCUUCCUUGGGACCUUCCUGGGUGCUUGAUAGGUUCUGAUCUCGUGCCUGAUCUGAAGAGAAAAGAGCUGUUGGACAUUAAUG
Molecule: long non-coding RNA, 726 nt
Filed under: Brassica napus (rape)
Lineage: Eukaryota; Viridiplantae; Streptophyta; Magnoliopsida; Brassicales; Brassicaceae
Description: long non-coding RNA (BNAP_LNC015525)
Source: RNAcentral